AUGUAGAAUAAGAUUGCAACAGAAAAUAGGGUUAUCAGGUUGAGGCGUCACCACCUUGUGUGGCUUAGUAUUGUUGAAGAGCUUGAACGUUUGCAGGCUCUCCUACAUAGACAAUGUUUUCUUUAUCUAAAUAGAUUUUCUUUUUUCAAUUUACAAGAACAAAAAGUAGACACACUGCCAACAGCAGGUUUCACCACUGAGAGUAAAAUCUUGAGGUUGCUGAGAUAUGCAUUAGAUUCAGGAAGUAUUUUGACGUGUCAAACUGACUUGACACGCAGCAAAAAGAUCAAAUAGACAGAAAUAUUAAUAUUGAUUUAAACUUAAGAUAAAAAAAAGACUAACCUCCAAAAUAGUUUUAGUAUAAAUGUUAUGCAAAUACUGCAAAGAAGAAUUACAUUUAUAAGCAGUUGCAACAACCUUUUUUUCACACAUCAGCUAUUGUUAACCACAAACCAAAUUUAGCUUGCUUUUACAGAAGGCACAUGCUUACUGAUGAAGAUGUCUGAAGAGGUUGUCUACUCCGCUGUAAAGUUGAAGAAUAAUGGUAGAGAGUCUGCGAACACAGCAACUGAAGAGCAAAGAAAAGAUAACGAACCCAUUGGUGACGUGGAAUAUGCUGCUAUCACAUUCAGAACAAAUGAAACGCACAACCAAAGAACACAUCCAAAAGGGGGUUGUAAAUAUGUCAGGCUGGCUGUUGGCACUCUCUUUACUCUGGUUAUAAGUGUGGCCAUACUGCUGUGCAUAAUGGUUGCAGGCUCUGUAGCAGGUCAGUGCGCUGAUGGCUGGGAAUCCUUUAAUGGGACUUGUUACUACUUCUCUCAUGAUACAUUAAACUGGACUGCGAGUAGAGACAGGUGUGUCUCAGAUGGUGGCCGUCUGGUCAUCAUAGACAGCAAGGAGGAACAGAUUCUGAGAUAGAGGGACAUUGGAAGUGGGUGGACAACACUGAUCUCAAACUCAAGUAGG
Long non-coding RNA from Sardina pilchardus (European sardine), 969 nucleotides. RefSeq lists it as uncharacterized. The record is from RefSeq and is a predicted model, not a curated record. Lineage: Eukaryota; Metazoa; Chordata; Actinopteri; Clupeiformes; Clupeidae. The transcript is spliced from 5 exons.